RNAcentral lists this long non-coding RNA (424 nucleotides) under Homo sapiens (human). RNAcentral's name for it is "non-protein coding lnc-FGF9-13:1". Lineage: Eukaryota; Metazoa; Chordata; Mammalia; Primates; Hominidae. The record is from RNAcentral.
GUUUGAAUGAAGAAUAUUUCCAUGUGUCUUUCUGUCCUUAAAAUCAAAAGUUGUGAACAGGCUGGGUGAGGUGGCUCAUGUCUGUAGUCCCACCUCUUUGGAAGGCCAAGGCAGGCAGAUCACUUGAGCCCAGGAGUUCAAGACCAGCCUGGGCAACAAAACAAAACUCCAUCUCUACAACAAUGAAAAAAUUAACCAGGCAUGGUGGCAUGUGCCUGUAGUCCCAGCUACUUGUGAGGCUGAGACUGGAGGAUCGUUGAGCCCAAGAGGCAGAGGUUGCAGUGAACUGUGAUUGUGCCACUGUACAACAGUGCCAGCCUGGGCAACAGAGGAGGCUGAGGCAGGAGAAUCACUUGAACCCAGGAGGCGGAGACUGUAGUGCGCCCAGAUUGUGCCACUGCACUCUGGCUUGGAGACAGAGACU